RNAcentral lists this ribosomal RNA (253 nucleotides) under uncultured bacterium. RNAcentral describes it as "partial 16S ribosomal RNA". It matches the Rfam family "Bacterial small subunit ribosomal RNA", at positions 524 to 776 of the family's 1533-position model. The record is from RNAcentral.
UACGUAGGGGGCUAGCGUUGUCCGGAAUCAUUGGGCGUAAAGCGCGUGUAGGCGGUUCGGUAAGUCCGCUGUGAAAGUCGGGGGCUCAACCCUCGAAUGCCGGUGGAUACUGUCGGGCUAGAGUGCGGAAGAGGCGAGUGGAAUUCCUGGUGUAGCGGUGAAAUGCGCAGAUAUCAGGAGGAACACCAAUUGCGAAGGCAGCUCGCUGGGACGUUACUGACGCUGAGACGCGAAAGCGUGGGAAGCAAACAGG